AUACGGAGGGUGCAAGCGUUACUCGGAAUCACAGGGCGUAAAGCGCGCGCAGGCGGCUUGGUAAGUUGGAUGUGAAAGCCUACGGCUCAACCGUAGAACUGCAUCCAAAACUGUCAAGCUAGAGUGUGGGAGAGGAAGAUGGAAUUAGUUGUGUAGGGGUAAAAUCCGUAGAGAUAACUAGGAAUACCAAAAGCGAAGGCAAUCUUCUGGAACACUACUGACGCUGAGGCGCGAAAGCGUGGGGAGCAAACAGGAUUAGAAACCCUAGUAGUCC
This 274-nucleotide ribosomal RNA is filed under the name uncultured bacterium. Its description in RNAcentral is "partial 16S ribosomal RNA". It matches the Rfam family "Bacterial small subunit ribosomal RNA", at positions 523 to 796 of the family's 1533-position model. The record is from RNAcentral.